AUGGAAACACGUUGAAAAGGGUUGGAAUGUGACAGUGUAAACUGAACAAACCUGAACAAGGUAUCGUUGUACAUUUUAAUCCGCACAAUACUUACGGUUGCAUUUAAAUAUGUAUAAGUAAAAUGAUAUUAUUUUAUGGUGCUUACUUCUAUUCAACUUGUUUAUCCUUUAAAAUAAAAUAUUAUGGAUAUAUAACAAAUUCUUUUGCAAACACGUGGAUUUUCGACUAAAAAACGCAAUGCAAAUAACCAGCUAAAAUCGACAAAAAGGUUAUUCCAUUAUCUAGGGGACAUCAUCUAAUUCAAACAAGUGUGUUUUGGCCUAUUAAAGGUUUCUCUUUCUCGUUACGGCCGAGUUCAUUAGGUAAUAAAAAGAUUAAUAAAAGAUGGAGAAAAGUAAUAAAACAUUAUUUUAAUAUAACCUUUAGAUAAAUCAAGUAAGCUUGUUUGAUGUUAAUUUAGUAUCUGCUAACCCAUAUAAAUGUGUGCACCCAACCAAGUAAACACACAAACAUACAAAAUACAAACCAAGUUCACAUCAAACCCAUAUGUGCAAGGUUUCGAAAUAUUAUCUAGUCAAUGGAACAAACUGGUGAAUCUUAAUCAAACAAAAAAUUGGAGUUAAAAGGGUUAGAAUAUUAUUAAAUUGAUAAUGACAACAACGUAGUGUCUUAAGCAUUUGAAACGUGAUAGAACACAUUGUUUUAAUCACUUGUACACUAAUGCAUCAUCUACUUAUACAUUUUAAUCCGCAUAACAUUGACAAAGACAACUACUAAGACGUCAACAAAAAUGAAAAGGAAAUCACAGUACCUUUGCAUUCUUUUGUAAAACAUUAUAGUUUAUAUAACAAGAAUACGAAAAAAAGUUAAGUUUUUUUGUAGAGAGAGAAAAGGGUAACUAAUUAUCCUUAAUUUUGUUAAAAUAAAAGGAUUUAAGUGUAAUAAAAUAAGAUACUAAAAUAUAAUUAGUGUUUAAAAGAACAUAGUACCCUCAUUUUAAGGGUGUAUUUAUAAAUAAAAAGAAAUAAAUACUUAUUUUUUAGGUAUCUUAAAAUACUCCUCUCUUAUGUAUAGUCUAGAAAAAUUGUUACCCAACCAUUC
RNAcentral lists this long non-coding RNA (1102 nucleotides) under Helianthus annuus (common sunflower). Its description in RNAcentral is "hypothetical non coding rna". The record is from RNAcentral. Lineage: Eukaryota; Viridiplantae; Streptophyta; Magnoliopsida; Asterales; Asteraceae.